RNAcentral lists this non-coding RNA (117 nucleotides) under Macaca nemestrina (pig-tailed macaque). RNAcentral also lists the same sequence under 2 other names. Lineage: Eukaryota; Metazoa; Chordata; Mammalia; Primates; Cercopithecidae. The record is from Rfam by way of RNAcentral.
GCUGGGCGUGGUGGCUCACGCCUGUAAUCCCAGCACUUUGGGAGGCCGAGGUGGGUGGAUCACCUGAGGUCAGGAGUUCGAGACCAGCCUGGCCAACAUGGUGAAACCCUGUCUCUA